Molecule: transfer RNA, 76 nt
Filed under: Caldisericum exile
Lineage: Bacteria; Pseudomonadati; Caldisericota; Caldisericia; Caldisericales; Caldisericaceae
Description: tRNA-Lys
Rfam family: tRNA
About the family: Transfer RNA (tRNA) molecules are approximately 80 nucleotides in length. Their secondary structure includes four short double-helical elements and three loops (D, anti-codon, and T loops). Further hydrogen bonds mediate the characteristic L-shaped molecular structure. tRNAs have two regions of fundamental functional importance: the anti-codon, which is responsible for specific mRNA codon recognition, and the 3' end, to which the tRNAs corresponding amino acid is attached (by aminoacyl-tRNA synthetases). tRNAs cope with the degeneracy of the genetic code in two manners: having more than one tRNA (with a specific anti-codon) for a particular amino acid; and 'wobble' base-pairing, i.e. permitting non-standard base-pairing at the 3rd anti-codon position.
Source: RNAcentral
GGGCCGUUAGCUCAGGAGGCAGAGCACCGGCCUUUUAAGCCGGGCGUCGCAGGUUCGAAUCCUGCACGGCUCACCA